GCAUGUGGCUUAAUUCGACGCAACGCGAAGAACCUUACCAAGGCUUGACAUACACCGGAAAGCAUUAGAGAUAGUGCCCCCCUUGUGGUCGGUGUACAGGUGGUGCAUGGCUGUCGUCAGGUGGGGACGACGUCAAGUCAUCAUGCCCCUUAUGUCUUGGGCUGCACACGUGCUACAAUGGCCGGUACAAUGAGCUGCGAUACCGUGAGGUGGAGCGAAUCUCAAAAAGCCGGUCUCAGUUCGGAUUGGGGUCUGCAACUCGACCCCAUGAAGUCGGAGUCGCUAGUAAUCGCAGAUCAGCUAUUGCUGCGGUGAAUACGUUCCCGGGCCUUGUACACACCGCCCGUCACGUCACGAAAG
Molecule: ribosomal RNA, 360 nt
Filed under: Actinomycetales bacterium
Lineage: Bacteria; Bacillati; Actinomycetota; Actinomycetes; Actinomycetales
Description: bacterial SSU rRNA
Rfam family: Bacterial small subunit ribosomal RNA
Source: RNAcentral